RNAcentral lists this ribosomal RNA (857 nucleotides) under uncultured fungus. Its description in RNAcentral is "eukaryotic LSU rRNA". It matches the Rfam family "Eukaryotic large subunit ribosomal RNA", at positions 103 to 821 of the family's 3401-position model. The record is from RNAcentral. Lineage: Eukaryota; Fungi.
AUGAGCUCAAAUUGAAAUCUGGCUGGUUUACUAGUCCGAGUUGUAAUUUAAAGAAGCGUUUUCGGUGGCAGCCUGGGUAUAAUCCUUUGGAAUAGGGUAUCAUAGAGGGUGAGAAUCCCGUCUUUGACCUAGUGCAUGCUACUAUGUGAUACGUUUUCAAAGAGUCGAGUUGUUUGGGAAUGCAGCUCAAAAUGGGUGGUAAAUUUCAUCUAAAGCUAAAUAUUGGCGAGAGACCGAUAGCGAACAAGUACCGUGAGGGAAAGAUGAAAAGAACUUUGAAAAGAGAGUUAAACAGUGCGUGAAAUUGUUGAAAGGGAAACGUUUGACACCAGUCAUGUGGGUGGAAAAUCAGUCUUUUGCAUUGGGGAGUUGUAAGGGUUCGGACCGCAAGGCCGGCUUUUGCUUCAUCUUUGGUGUAAGUGAUGCACUUUUUCAUCUACAGGUCAACAUCAGUUUCUUUUGCUGGACAAAACUCCGAGAGAAGGUAGCAGCUUAGGCUGUGUUAUAGCUCUGGAGCGAUACGGUGAAGGGGACUGAGGUUUUCGCAGCGUGUGCUCUCGGGCAAGGCUGGAUGGGUGCUAUGGGAUCGUUCGGGGUACAAUGCCUGGCAUUUUGCUUCGUGUCUUUUCUAUACUCGCUCAACUCAGCUCUUCCACGCUUAGGAUGUUGACUUAAUGGUUUUAAACGACCCGUCUUGAAACACGGACCAAGGAGUCUAACAUAUAUGCAAGUGUUUGGGUGGCAAACCCAUGCGCGUAAUGAAAGUGAACGUAGGUGAGAUCCGCAAGGUGCAGCAUCGACCGAUCUUGAUAUUUUUGGAUAGAUUUGAGUAAGAGCAUAUAUGCUGGGACCCGAAA